UUAACUAAAACCAAAAUAGAGGUAUAUUACUGUUAAUAAUAAUAUUGAAUUUUAAUUAUUCUAGUUAAG
This 69-nucleotide transfer RNA is filed under the name Salganea incerta. RNAcentral's name for it is "tRNA-Asn". Lineage: Eukaryota; Metazoa; Arthropoda; Insecta; Blattodea; Blaberidae. The record is from RNAcentral.